This is a long non-coding RNA of Mus caroli (Ryukyu mouse), 567 nucleotides long. RefSeq lists it as uncharacterized. Lineage: Eukaryota; Metazoa; Chordata; Mammalia; Rodentia; Muridae. The record is from RefSeq and is a predicted model, not a curated record.
CUACUGCAAUAUCCAAGAACAGACAAAAAAAACCCCAAUCAGAAUAUUAGAAGCUAAUGAAAUAAUUCAAUGAUGCCAUAUCAACUAGAAUUAGCUUCUUGGAAUCCAAAUCCAUGUGAUGCUAGAAGCGGAAUGAGAUUGCUCUACAGUCAGCCUGUCACCAAUUUACUGAAGUAAAACCUACCCACUGAUGUCUUGUAAAAUUCUGCUGGUCCAUGUUACCUCAUCUCUACAUCUACCUACCAUCCAUCAACACCAUGGUUUGAGAGGCUUUGUGAAUAGGCUCAGUAUUGUUAAAAGGAAACAACAGAGUAAUCAGCUUCCACUUAAGAUUUAGAAAGGUGGAAAAGUGUGGGAUGAGAAGAAGAACAUGUCUGCUGUGGUAUGUGUGCAGAGGGAGAAGAGAAUUUGCUGAAUCCAGCUCCCCACUUCUGUCACAAGCUUCCAGAUACAAAACAAACUUUAAUCAGCAAGCUUGCACAACAAGAGCUUUUACUUGUUGGAUCUUCUCUCAGACCCAGAGAUAACAUCUCUUAAAAGUUACAUAAGCUCAUAGGAGACUGUUAA